UGGGGAAUAUUGCACAAUGGGCGAAAGCCUGAUGCAGCGACGCCGCGUGAGGGAUGACGGCCUUCGGGUUGUAAACCUCUUUCAGUAGGGACGAAGCGCAAGUGACGGUACCUGCAGAAGAAGCACCGGCUAACUACGUGCCAGCAGCCGCGGUAAUACGCAGGGUGCGAGCGUUGUCCGGAAUUACUGGGCGUAAAGAGCUCGUAGGCGGUUUGUCACGUCGUCUGUGAAAUCCUAGGGCUUAACCCUGGACGUGCAGGCGAUACGGGCUGACUUGAGUACUACAGGGGAGACUGGAAUUUCUGGUGUAGCUGUGGAAUGCACAGAUAUCAGGAAGAACACCGAUGGCGAAGGCAGGUCUCUGGGUAGUAACUGACGCUGAGGAGCGAAAGCAUGGGUAGCGAACAGG
RNAcentral lists this ribosomal RNA (409 nucleotides) under bacterium. RNAcentral describes it as "partial 16S ribosomal RNA". It matches the Rfam family "Bacterial small subunit ribosomal RNA", at positions 355 to 776 of the family's 1533-position model. The record is from RNAcentral.